RNAcentral lists this ribosomal RNA (106 nucleotides) under uncultured bacterium. RNAcentral describes it as "partial 16S ribosomal RNA". The record is from RNAcentral.
UGUUGCGGUGAAUACGUUCCCGGGUCUUGUACACACCGCCCGUCAAACCAUGAAAGUGACCAACACCCGGAGGUAGGUGCCCAAGGUAUGAUUGAUAAUUGGGGUG